This 110-nucleotide ribosomal RNA is filed under the name Acanthosepion pharaonis. The record is from RNAcentral. Lineage: Eukaryota; Metazoa; Mollusca; Cephalopoda; Sepiida; Sepiidae.
UGGUCACAACACACUGAAACACCAGUUCCCAUAUGAUCACCAAAAUUAAGCAAUGUCAAGCCUGGUCAGUACCUAGAGGGGUGACUGCUUGGGAAUACCAGGUGCUGUAG